This 84-nucleotide transfer RNA is filed under the name Felis catus (domestic cat). It matches the Rfam family "tRNA". From Rfam's summary of the family: Transfer RNA (tRNA) molecules are approximately 80 nucleotides in length. Their secondary structure includes four short double-helical elements and three loops (D, anti-codon, and T loops). Lineage: Eukaryota; Metazoa; Chordata; Mammalia; Carnivora; Felidae. The record is from Rfam by way of RNAcentral.
GCCUGGGUAGCUGAGUCGUUCAGCAUCGGACUUCGGCUCAGGUCAUGAUCUGACAGUUCGUGAGUUCAAGUCCCACAUCAGGUG